RNAcentral lists this ribosomal RNA (388 nucleotides) under uncultured bacterium. RNAcentral describes it as "bacterial SSU rRNA". It matches the Rfam family "Bacterial small subunit ribosomal RNA", at positions 30 to 418 of the family's 1533-position model. The record is from RNAcentral.
AUUGAACGCUGGCGGCAUGCCUUACACAUGCAAGUCGAACGGCAGCACGGACUUCGGUCUGGUGGCGAGUGGCGAACGGGUGAGUAAUACAUCGGAACGUGCCUAGUAGUGGGGGAUAACUACUCGAAAGAGUGGCUAAUACCGCAUGAGAUCUAUGGAUGAAAGCAGGGGACCUUAGGGCCUUGUGCUACUGGAGCGGCCGAUGGCAGAUUAGGUAGUUGGUGGGAUAAAAGCUUACCAAGCCGACGAUCUGUAGCUGGUCUGAGAGGACGAUCAGCCACACUGGGACUGAGACACGGCCCAGACUCCUACGGGAGGCAGCAGUGGGGAAUUUUGGACAAUGGGCGCAAGCCUGAUCCAGCAAUGCCGCGUGCAGGAUGAAGGCCUC